UACGAAGGGGGCUAGCGUUGUUCGGAAUUACUGGGCGUAAAGCGCACGUAGGCGGAUAUUUAAGUCAGGGGUGAAAUCCCGGGGCUCAACCCCGGAACGGCCUUUGAUACUGGAUGUCUUGAGUCCGGAAGAGGUGAGUGGAAUUCCGAGUGUAGAGGUGAAAUUCGUAGAUAUUCGGAAGAACACCAGUGGCGAAGGCGACUCACUGGACAUGUAUUGACGCUGAGGUGCGAAAGCGUGGGGAGCAAACAGG
RNAcentral lists this ribosomal RNA (253 nucleotides) under uncultured bacterium. RNAcentral's name for it is "partial 16S ribosomal RNA". It matches the Rfam family "Bacterial small subunit ribosomal RNA", at positions 524 to 776 of the family's 1533-position model. The record is from RNAcentral.